This is a long non-coding RNA of Cylas formicarius (sweet potato weevil), 1582 nucleotides long. RefSeq lists it as uncharacterized. The record is from RefSeq and is a predicted model, not a curated record. The transcript is spliced from 4 exons. NCBI's taxonomy places the organism in Eukaryota, Metazoa, Arthropoda, Insecta, Coleoptera, Brentidae.
CAGUUGUCUAUAUUUGACAGUAAAUAGUAGAUAGGUAUAAUCCGAAUGCGAAUUAGGAAAACGCUGCUUAAUUUAAAGAUGCAGAACGUACAUCGGUUGCUAAAUCCACACAGGAUACAUGAAUUGCUAUGAAUCCGGUCAAUUAUUGUUUCCAAAAAAAUAUAGGUUAAAAUUUUAUUGAAGGGUGCUGCAACCCGCAUUCAAAAGAAUACUUUUUAUUAACCCCAAAAUAGGUGGGGUUUACAGCUGAUGAUGGGAAUAAAACUGAUUAUGAGCUGACUGAACUCACUGUGCAAUUUGUUCUAGCCAGUUGCGAGUGAGAAUAAGAUGGGGCAUUUCCUAUAGCCACAUCAAAAUCAUAUAAAAAAGUACUUAUGGUGAUACAAAAAUCCACAUUUCCUUGUAUUUGACAUUCAAUCCACAGUGCCUUGUCCAGGCUAGGUUUUGGUGGCAAAGAGCUUUGAACACAUUAAGAAUAAGAAUUUUCUUUCCUUCCACCAUCUGUCACUCUCGAGGCCCUUGACAAUCAUCAUAUGUACAAUACCACGCCUAUGGGAUACGACUAAGACCGGUCAGUUUUAUAGUUCAUUAAUUAUUUAUAACUCUCUCCAAUUAAUGUUAAAUCACAAGUUUACAGUAUUACGAUCAACGUUACGGGAGUUUAAUCGGGAUGCAGCCAGAGAACUGGUGUUAAAAAAAUUAAGACUUCAUGAACCGCGUAUAGUAUUUUAAUUUAUUACACUUAACAAGGGAUCAAUAACUUUUACGAAAAAGUCAAACAAAUGUCGAAAAUGAAAAUGAAUCGGUAAGUACGCAAUUUUAUUAUCCACAUAUUUGUAAAAAAAUAUUUUAUAUAUUAUAUUACUAUCUAUUUCUGAGUACUUAAGCAAUGACUUUGGCGAUGUUGCGUGUUUAAGUGGGUGUAUAGUGCUAAUUGUACCGCUUUUUAAUUUUUUGUUAAGUUGUCCUGCUUUGGGAUUUGUCAGUUUUCCUAGAAUACAUUAUGUGUCCUACUUUUAAACUUUUAAUUUUUUUAGAAAACUUCGUUUUAUAUUUUAUUGUCAUUUAACUUUAUAUUUUAUGACGUGUAAAAGCUCGGUAUGUAUUAUUACUAACAUCUAUCUAUCCAUAGUAGUGAAAUGCAACGCCACCACAACGUCAAACUGCAAUAUUAUGAUUUGUGCCAAAAUGUUUAAAUAUUAAAAGUACAUACGUCAAUUCCAAAAAGUUUGGACUUAUAGUUUGUAUAUACAUAAACUAGCUUGCUGUUUCUUUGUUUUUGUGUUCUAAUUGAAAAUAUAAGAUUUGACAUAUGCGCACGUCGAACUAUUAAAUGUGGGGAAAGAACGAGAAUGAUCCAUUUUCAGUAUUGCUGGCGUGGAGCAGCAGUUGACUAUUGGCAGAAUCUGUUGUGCAAUAGGUCCCUUCUUGAACAUUUUAGACGUAGAGUUAGAAGCAGUGGUAGACACCAUGUGAUAUUCAGAGCCCUUACCAGAAAGGACCGCUGCCGUAAAUAUCGAACAACUCGUUGGCCCCGACGAAUCCCGACCAAUUGUAGGUACCGUUUAUCGCAAUGUUGCCG